GACGAACGCUGGCGGCGUGCCUAAUACAUGCAAGUAGAACGCUGAAGCUUGGUGCUUGCACCGAGCGGAUGAGUUGCGAACGGGUGAGUAACGCGUAGGUAACCUGCCUGGUAGCGGGGGAUAACUAUUGGAAACGAUAGCUAAUACCGCAUGAUAUUGAUUAUUGCAUGAUAGUCAAUUAAAAGGUGCAAUUGCAUCACUACCAGAUGGACCUGCGUUGUAUUAGCUAGUUGGUGAGGUAACGGCUCACCAAGGCAACGAUACAUAGCCGACCUGAGAGGGUGAUCGGCCACACUGGGACUGAGACACGGCCCAGACUCCUACGGGAGGCAGCAGUAGGGAAUCUUCGGCAAUGGACGGAAGUCUGACCGAGCAACGCCGCGUGAGUGAAGAAGGUUUUCGGAUCGUAAAGCUCUGUUGUAAGAGAAGAACGAGUGUGAGAGUGGAAAGUUCACACUGUG
RNAcentral lists this ribosomal RNA (461 nucleotides) under Streptococcus sp. oral taxon 070. RNAcentral's name for it is "bacterial SSU rRNA". It matches the Rfam family "Bacterial small subunit ribosomal RNA", at positions 28 to 471 of the family's 1533-position model. Lineage: Bacteria; Bacillati; Bacillota; Bacilli; Lactobacillales; Streptococcaceae. The record is from RNAcentral.